CAGUGUUACAGCUCUUUUAGAAGCAGGCUUUUUGGUUUUUGCCAGAAAGCCCAA
This is a non-coding RNA of Pan troglodytes (chimpanzee), 54 nucleotides long. It matches the Rfam family "U7 small nuclear RNA". From Rfam's summary of the family: Animal histone pre-mRNAs are spliced by a different mechanism than nuclear pre-mRNAs and self-splicing introns. This processing involves the U7 snRNP, which contains only one RNA species: U7. NCBI's taxonomy places the organism in Eukaryota, Metazoa, Chordata, Mammalia, Primates, Hominidae. The record is from Rfam.